GACGAACGCUGGCGGCGUGCCUAACACAUGCAAGUCGAGCGGAGUCGAUCGACGGAAGCCUUCGGGCGGAAGAUGGUUGACUUAGCGGCGGAUGGGUGAGUAACGCGUGGGCAACCUGCCUCGAAGACCGGGAUAACAGCCCGAAAGGGCUGCUAAUACCGGAUGUGGUCAAGGAUCCGCAUGGAUUUUUGAUUAAAGGGGAAACCCGUUUCGAGAUGGGCCCGCGUCCUAUCAGCUAGUUGGUGAGGUAAAAGCUCACCAAGGCGACGACGGGUAGCCGGCCUGAGAGGGUGACCGGCCACACUGGGACUGAGACACGGCCCAGACUCCUACGGGAGGCAGCAGUUGGGAAUCUUAGGCAAUGGACGAAAGUCUGACCUAGCGACGCCGCGUGAGGGAAGAAGGCCUUCGGGUUGUAAACCUCUGUCAUGGGGGAAGAAGUAAGUGACGGUACCCCAAGAGGAAGCCCCUGCUAACUACGUG
Molecule: ribosomal RNA, 483 nt
Filed under: uncultured bacterium
Lineage: Bacteria
Description: bacterial SSU rRNA
Rfam family: Bacterial small subunit ribosomal RNA
Source: RNAcentral